Molecule: long non-coding RNA, 2248 nt
Organism: Bos taurus (domestic cattle)
Lineage: Eukaryota; Metazoa; Chordata; Mammalia; Artiodactyla; Bovidae
Source: Ensembl
UUGAGAGUAAUGUUACUGAUUCUUAAGUAUAAUGGCAUUUUCUUGAUACAGGUAUGUAUAAGUGUACUCCUAACCUUGAAAAGGGAUGGUUAAUAGAUAUUCUUAUGAGUAGGAGAAUCUAAGAGUGUUCAUAUAACUCAUAGGUGCUUAAACUUGUCUUGGCAAAGAGUUUUUCCUUCUUCAGAUUAAAACAGUAGUUGAGUUAAUGAACUGGCGUUAUCUGUUGAACACAGGUGGCCCUUCUUAGUCUCUUACAAAGAGGAAAUAAACUCAAAGCGACUCUAAAAAGAUAGAAUGUAAGGGAGAUAAAAUUUAGAUAUGAGGAGCUUCCUGUUACUUUUGCUUACUUUAGGUUACCAGUGAGAAGUAAAAAAAUUGGUAGAACUUAAUAGUAUUUAGUCUUAGGUUACCAACCCAGUGAGAAGUAAAAAAAUUGGUAGAACUUAAUAGUAUUUAGUCUGUAGGCUGCCCUGCUCCUGUGUGUGUGCUCAGUGCUCAGUGUUGUCUGACUAUGCGACCCCGUGGUCUGCAGCCUGCCAGACUGCUCUGUCCAUGGAGGUUUCCAGGCAAGAAUACUGGAGUGGGUUGCCAUUUUCUACUUUCCAAGCAGGAGGCCCAACAAAGCAGACAAAAUCCUUGCCCACAGAGAUCUUAUGUUCUGAUAACAGACUCUUCCUUAGUUUACAACUGUGCUCCUUUCAUGGAUGACUUGAAUUAUGAGUGGGAUUUGGCAUGUGUGACGUUUUCUACACUUUGCUUAGAAGCUGUGAUUCGAGCUUUACUAUUUUUAACAAGAGAGAAGGAAGAGGAGGUUUUCUAUAACUGGACAAAAACUGAAAUAUGAAAAGAGGAAGUAGGAAGGGGGAAAUAGUGUUGUACCUAAGAUUAAAAUGUGAGCCAAAGAUAAAAAAAAAAAGAGAUUCCUACAUUAGGCAUGUGGGAAGCUGGGGAAAACACCAUUUACUGUCCAGUCUCAGAUAGAGGAGUUCUUGGACAGGAGAAUGGGCGAAAAGAUGGAAUAGUGGGAGAAGGGUAAACAGGGCUUUUAACAAGUCUGGUUUAAGUAACUUGGGAUGUUCCUAUAAAAUAUAUGUUAUUUGUGUUUGGAAAAGACCCUUUUCCUUUUCUUUUGUGAACAUAGUUGAAAGAUUAGUGGUUGGCCAGUAGUGUCUGAAAUACUGUCCCUGAUUUGUGACUGCUGAUCUGUCUCUGGUUAGUUGACAGUUCUGUUGAGGUUAGCUGAUGGAGUCAAUCCAUCUCUUAGUUUAUUGUCCUCAAAUUGCCCUGUAUAUCGAACUGCAUCCCUUAAUUCCAUAGCUGUUUAUGUAUUACUUGAAGUUGUGCCUUUGUUUUCCUGCCUUGUAAGUUUCUGCAUGAUGUCCUGUUGUACUUAAGAGACAAAGCAGGUGCUUAGUUUUCUACUUUCUGUUUACAGCUUUUUUUCAGUGACCAUCCAGUUUGGUAAAGAAGUCUCUUCUUGAGUUUACACAAUACAUUGCACACUUUUAAAGAUAAGCAUGAGAGAUCUUUGAUGUUUGUUUUUGUUUUAAUGCAUAAUCGUUUUUUGCUUUCAUUUAUGAGUCAUUCCGUCAGAGUCUCAUGUGAUCUUGCCUGCUGUAGUGAAUUGAGAUAGAUUUUUUAAUGAUUUUUUUAUUAUAAAGCAAAUCAACUUCUGUUUAUUUCAGUGCUCCAAUAUGAAAAUGAACACUAGUUCCAUUCAUGACCUAAGAGACUCCCUUUAUAACACCCGAAUAAGCCUUCAGAGUACUGGUUUCACUUUUAAUGUAUUUUUGUAACUGUAUUUAUCACUUUUAUCAAAACUCUAAUGUGCAGAACUUGAACUUUUGAAUAUAUUAAAUUUAAGAUUGUAAUUCAGACAAGGUUCAUUAAGCUGUUCAACAUCUGGACAUCUUUGAGUGCCUAUAUUUUAGACUGAAAAAUGAAGCAAAAAUAACCUUACUUGAUUUCUAAAAUUAUCUUUUAUAAAGUGUUGGUGACUCUAGGUCCUAAAUGUAAGGAAAUUGAGUUUAGCUUCUUUCUAGUCAACUGUUUUGGAGUGUUUUGAAUCAGAAUGUGAAAGUGAAAUAGUAACUUUUAGCUUAAGACAUAAUAGAUUCAGUUAUACUUUCAUUUUGUUUUUGUUUUAUAAAAUCUGACUCUAGUUUGUAAGGGAAGUAGAGGCUUCUAAGGAUUAGUGAUAAUUUAGGAUGUUAUUACUCUUAACAUCUUGAGUCUUUUUCUCAGUGAU